AACGAACGUUAGCGGCGCGCUUAACACAUGCAAGUCGUGCGAGAAAGGGGAAACCCCGGUAAAGCGGCGCACGGGUGAGUAACACGUAGGUAAUCUGCCCCCAGGUGGUGGAUAACCUUCCGAAAGGAGGGCUAAUACAGCAUGAGACCACGGUUCCGCAAGGGAUUGAGGUCAAAGCCGGCCUCUUCAUGAAAGCUGGCGCCAGGGGAUGAGCCUGCGGCCCAUCACGGUAGUUGGUAGGGUAAUGGCCUACCAAGCCUAAGACGGGUAGCUGGUCUGAGAGGAUGAUCAGCCACACUGGAACUGAGACACGGUCCAGACUCCUACGGGUGGCAG
This 336-nucleotide ribosomal RNA is filed under the name uncultured Pseudomonadota bacterium. Its description in RNAcentral is "bacterial SSU rRNA". It matches the Rfam family "Bacterial small subunit ribosomal RNA", at positions 29 to 351 of the family's 1533-position model. Lineage: Bacteria; Pseudomonadati; Pseudomonadota. The record is from RNAcentral.